AGAUAUUCGGAGCUAACAAAAAC
Molecule: non-coding RNA, 23 nt
Filed under: Cricetulus griseus (Chinese hamster)
Lineage: Eukaryota; Metazoa; Chordata; Mammalia; Rodentia; Cricetidae
Source: RNAcentral